CAGUCGCCGCGGUAAUACAGAGGGUGCGAGCGUUAAUCGGAUUUACUGGGCGUAAAGCGUGCGUAGGCGGCUUCUUAAGUCGGAUGUGAAAUCCCUGAGCUUAACUUAGGAAUUGCAUUCGAUACUGGGAAGCUAGAGUAUGGGAGAGGAUGGUAGAAUUCCAGGUGUAGCGGUGAAAUUCGUAGAGAUCUGGAGGAAUACCGAUGGCGAAGGCAGCCAUCUGGCCUAAUACUGACGCUGAGGUACGAAAGCAUGGGGAGCAAACAGGAUUAGAUACCCCAGUAGUCCCUGUCUCUUAUAC
RNAcentral lists this ribosomal RNA (301 nucleotides) under uncultured bacterium. Its description in RNAcentral is "partial 16S ribosomal RNA". It matches the Rfam family "Bacterial small subunit ribosomal RNA", at positions 509 to 807 of the family's 1533-position model. The record is from RNAcentral.